GGUCCCAUAGUUAAAAAGGAUAUAACGGGGCUUUCCUAAAGCCCAAUUAGGGGUUCGAUUCCCUUUGGGACCACCA
This 76-nucleotide transfer RNA is filed under the name Bdellovibrionales bacterium GWA2_49_15. RNAcentral's name for it is "tRNA-Arg". It matches the Rfam family "tRNA". Rfam says of the family: Transfer RNA (tRNA) molecules are approximately 80 nucleotides in length. RNAcentral also lists the same sequence under 1 other name. Lineage: Bacteria; Pseudomonadati; Bdellovibrionota; Bdellovibrionia; Bdellovibrionales. The record is from RNAcentral.